Molecule: long non-coding RNA, 2580 nt
Filed under: Sus scrofa (pig)
Lineage: Eukaryota; Metazoa; Chordata; Mammalia; Artiodactyla; Suidae
Description: lncRNA (ENSSSCG00040018279.1)
Source: RNAcentral
AGUCGCACUUCUGCUAAAGAGGGAGGAAGAGCCAUUCGCUGGUGACCCUGUGAUUAAGGAUCCCGCGCCGUCACUGCGGGGGCUUGAGUCGCUGCUGUGGGGCAGGUUUGACCCCUGGCCCGGGAACUUCUGCAUGCUGUGGGUGUGGCCAAAAGGGGGGGUGAAUAACGGGCGAGGGGCGGGGGUGUGUAAAGGCAGCAGAGAUGGGAAUUCCCUUGGUGGCUCAGUGGAUUACACACUGGACUCGUACCCCUGAGGACGCAGGUUCAAUCCCUGGCCGAGCUCCGUGGAUGAAGGAUCUGGCAUUGCCGUGAGCUUGGUGUACAUCACAGAUGCGGCUUGGAUUCAGCAUUGCUGUGGCUGGGGCGAAGGCCGGCAGUUGUAGCUCUGAUUCCACCCCUAGCCUGGGAACUUCCAUAUGCCAUGGCGGUGGCCCUAAAAAGAAAAAAAGAAAAAAAAAAAAAAAAAAAGGCAGCAGAGCUGGACGUUUCGGGACUCUCAGAGGUUGUUUAUGGGCGUGGUGCGCUAUUACUACAGGCCGCACACCCAGACAACACUGUGUGAGGGUUGCUGCUUACCUGGAAACUCCGGGCACCAGGACUCUAACUGCAAGAGUUAGAAGGGGUCCACCCUGGGUAUCUGGCUAUAAUAAGAGCUGGCGGCUGUCUGUGACCCAGGACUCGAGGAAGAGAGCGAACAAAAGGAAGUAUCGAGAAUGCCUGAACCCACGCGAGGACAUAAGGCCAAUCCAGCUACUCCCAGCUAACUUAUAAUUUUAUGCCACACAUGGUGCAGAAGGAUAUACGAAGGAGUUCUGGCUUAACCUCCCACAUUCUCCUCCCUAAAGAUUGAGAAAAACUCUUAGCCAGGGUUGGCUAAGAGAAUGUUCUGGUCUGGUCUGAAGUCUUCUACAUUUUGGGUUUUCAAGUUCCGGCGAUUUUCCUGAGCAUAUUCCACGUAGGUCCUUGGCACAAACCUCCGGCAGCGUUAUGACUCUCCAUGGGAUUGGUUCAAAUGUCACUUCACGCACUAAACAGUCCGUAAUAGUGUCUCUGAGGAGGUCUGCUCUCUGCCCGUGACUCCUGACUCCGGCUUUGCAAAGGGUUUCCUCCCAGAAAGUCUGCAGACCCAUGGUGCUGGUCAGUUGCAUUUGGCUUCUGCCCAUUUGCGUCCGACGAGACAAUACUCAGCUUCUUUGGGUGGCAAGAGUGACCUCUUUACCUGGGACCAUCUUCUGAGGCAGCGCAGGUGUGCUGGGACCCUUCGUGGGUGGUCCCUCAUGAGGUUUUAGGGAGGAACCGCUGGGGGGCUUCCUGUUCACCAUUUCACCCUCAGCAUCGUGGGGCUGAACGUCUUUGGGUGCUAGAGACCCAAAGAAUCCAGGUCCUUAAAAGAAAACCAUCCAGGUGUUCCCUCCUUCCUUCCUUCCUCUGUAAUGGCUGCACCCCCGGCAUACGGAGGUUCCCGGGCUAGGAGCCAAAUCGGAGCUACAGCUGCCGUCCUACGCCACAGCCACAGCAGCACACGGGAUCCCAGCCGCGUCUUCCACCUACACCACAGCUCACGCAGCCCUGGAUCCUUAACCCAUGGAGCGAGGCCAGGGAUCAAACCUGCAUCCUCACGGAGACAACAUCGGGUCCUUCACCUGCUGAGCCACAAUGGGAACUCCCAUCUAGGUUUUGAUAGUCGGGAACUAAAUUCAAUGCAUUGAAUUUCAUUAUCGCGGGAACACCUUUUCGGUGCUGGGUGAUGUAUUAGGAGUCUCACAUACACACGCCCAUCAAGUUCUCAGAAUAUCUUUAUGAGGCAGGUAUUAUAUGCACAUCUUACAGAUGAGGAAACUGAGACAAUUAGUUGGCUUAUACAGAGUCAAGUUCACACAGUCCCUGGGAGAUCAGAUCUAGGACUUAAAAAAAUUGGGGAUGGUUGGUGAAAACAUGUAAAAUUGACCAUCUUAACUAUGUUAAGUUAUACACCAGUAGCGCUACCUCUAUUCACAUAACGUGCAAAAGAUUUCUGGCAUUUUUUCAUCUUGCAAAACUGAAAUUCUAUAUCCACUGAACAAAUCCCCUUCUCCCCUCCCUGCAGCCUCUGGCAACCACUAGGCUACUUUCUGUUUCUGUGAGCUGGACUACUCUGCAUACCGCCUAUAAGUGGAAUCAUACCUACUACUUUUUGUGUGACUGGCUUGUUUCACUGAGUAUAACAUCCUCAAGAACCAUCCAUACUGCAGCAAGUGUCUGACUCCCAUUCCUUUGGUAAUAUUCCAUUGUACUGGCAUAUUUUCUUACAGAUCUAGGAUUUGAAUCCAAGUUUGCGAGGCUCCGAAACUAUCCUAUUUAUGCUCCUUUGUGCCUGCACCACGUCACCUUGUCAGUGCUUUAAGGGGGGAUUGUCAAGUUCACGUACAUUGAAUGCAAGAGAAGCGAGAUGGUGGUGCCCUGGCUCUGUUCCUGGCGCUCUGAGCUCAGGGGUGGAGUGGCAGAGGGCUGACAGGCCCCCCACUGACCUACAGCCUUCUAGGGGGCACCUGUCUUUCUCAUCACACAGAGCCCACCUCCCCAUCCUCUGGUUCACGCC